Molecule: long non-coding RNA, 2442 nt
Organism: Podarcis raffonei (Aeolian wall lizard)
Lineage: Eukaryota; Metazoa; Chordata; Lepidosauria; Squamata; Lacertidae
Exons: 2
Source: RefSeq, a predicted model, not a curated record
GGUAAUAUACACAGUGAGUUGCAUCGAACUGCUUGAAUGGAACAGACUUUAUCUCCUGCCUUUCUAACAGGUGGAGGCCAACUGUAUCAUUUUGCAGAAACUGCUACAUACAUAGUGUCCAUUAUUAUAUAGUAGAUAGCGUGAGACCCACUUUAUCCCUUUCUUAGUUGCUAUUAUUGUUUUAUUUAGAAGAAUUGCAUUGGCCAGCCCCAUUUUAAGUAACAACAAAUAUUCUGCUUUGCUUUUAUGAGAGAGCACCCCCCCCCCCCAUAGUUGGAUAGAAUGAAGAGCAUUAACCUAACCUGGGGCUUUAAAUCACUGUUCACGUUUGAUGAGAAAUGUAUUUAUUUAUUCCUCCUUAAUGUUAUCCUUGCUAUGCACACCGGGAUGAAAUGAUUUUCAAUCCAUUGUCAGGACAUUUCCCACACCAGCAAUUUCCCACACCUUGUAAUGGGUUCAGACAUGUGGCAAUCUGUCUUGGUUCCGUUUGCUAUGAAACGCUUUGUUUUAAAGUGGCAGAAGAAUAAGAAUCUUCCUAUGCACAGCAAGGGAUAUGGCAGUGCCAUGGAAAAGUACGAAAUUCAAAGAGUGAUCUCGAGGUGUCCUAUGAAAGUACCAUUUAUAUAUUUACAUACUGUUGGGUAAAUAAUAAUAAUAAUUUAUUAUUUAUACCCCGCCCAUCUGGCUGAGUUUCCCCAGCCACUCUGGGCGGCUCCCAAUCAGUGUUAAAAACAGUACAGCGUUACAUAUUAAAAACUUCCCUGAACAGGGCUGCCUUAAGAUGUCUUCUGAAUGUCAGGUAAUUAUUUAUCUCUUUGACAUCUGAUGGGAGGGCGUUCCACAGGGCGGGCGCCACUACCGAGAACGCCCUCUGUCUGGUUCCCUGUAGCCUCACUUCUCGCAAUGAGGGAACCGCCAGAAGGCCCUCGGCACUGGAUCUCAGUGUCCGGGCUGAACGAUGGGGGUGGAGACGCUCCUUCAGGUAUACAGGACCGAGGCCGUUUAGGGCUUUAAAGGUCAGCACCAACACUUUGAAUCGUGCUCGGAAACGUACUGGGAGCCAAUGCAGAUCUCUCAGAACCAGUGUUAUGUGGUCCCGGCGGCCACUCCCAGUCACCAGUCUAGCUGCCGCAUUCUGGAUUAAUUGCAGUUUCCGGGUCACCUUCAAAGGUAGCCCCACGUAGAGCGCGUUGCAGUAGUCCAAGCGUGAGAUAACUAGAGCAUGCACCACUCUGGCGAGACAGUUCGCGAGCAGGUAGGGUCUUAGCCUGUGUACCAGGUGGAGCUGUUAGACAGCUGCCCUGGACACAGAGUUAACCUGCGCCUCCUUUCAGCCUAACCUAACUCUCAGAGUUCUGGAGAUUAAAUGAGGGAGAGAACUAUGUGCACCAUCUUGAGCUCCUUGGGGGAAAAGGUGGGGGGGGGGAAUAUAAUAAACUUAAAUAUGCAUUUAUAGCCAUGCAGUCUCAAAACAGGUUAGCUACUAUUACCGUUAGUAAGAUAAUACUAUUUCUUUGACUUAAGCAGUACGGAUACAACUUUGCCCUAUACCAUCACUCAUAGGAGUUAAGUCGUCAGAAAACAAAAGAUUGGGAAGAAAAGUUUUAAAAGGUUUUUGCCUGCAGCUUUUUCCAGUCUCAUGAUCUAACGUGACAGCUCGUCGGUGAUGUCUAUUCCACUUCAAAGAGGCAGGUAGCCUAGGGCCAGCCAGCUGUAUUGUGGAUUCCGUGGAUUUGGCUUGCUGUUCCUGCUGGGUGUCAUCUGUCUUCUUAGUCUUGCAGUGGGUAAUUUUUGUGCUCCCCCUAACAUCAUCUGCCUGAGCAGUUCCUGCCUGGCAGGCCUGUCUGUCCAGGUUGAGCAUCAAAUAUGGUAACCGUAUGACUAAUCUGACAAGGCAACUACUCCAAAGAGUGCAGCCCCAGGCCUGCUCUGACCAGGAUCAUCAUCACAGCCCACAAACUUCCAGCAAUCACGACCACGGUCUCAGUCUUCCAUCACAGAUGCUGCCCAUGGACUUAUUCUGCUCACGCAAUGUAUGUCUCCCUUUCUGCUCACCCCCCCCCAACCCCUCUCUUAAAGGCUGUCAUUCCAAAUCUUUGUGUGUCGUGAGAAGUCUGCCUCAACAGGUUUGGGUUUCCCUGCCUGUUGCCAGCAUUUGACUCAAACACCGCCACUUGGAUGAAACAAUCCUUUAGUGGAUUAUCAUUGCUAGACAGCCUGUGGGAAAAAUGACAGGACUCGGCAUGUUAAUCCGAAGAUUUUACAAUCCAGAAAGCCGCUAACACUAAUCAUAAAUGGCAAGAUGAUCCCUAAAAGAGAAAGCGGGUUCCCUAGCAAGGCAAAAGUGACACAAUUUGUUUAGUAAAUCUUCCCCAAAACUCUAUAUGAUGACUACAUAUGUUGAUUUUCAUGCUCAGAGCCAUAAAUAUUCCCAGAGCUUUA